GGGAGUAUAGUUCUGUGGUACAACACUUGCCAAGUAUGCAUGAGGCCCUGGGUUCAAUCCCCAGUACUGCAA
This 72-nucleotide transfer RNA is filed under the name Ictidomys tridecemlineatus (thirteen-lined ground squirrel). RNAcentral's name for it is "Spermophilus tridecemlineatus (thirteen-lined ground squirrel) tRNA". It matches the Rfam family "tRNA". From Rfam's summary of the family: Transfer RNA (tRNA) molecules are approximately 80 nucleotides in length. The record is from Rfam by way of RNAcentral. Lineage: Eukaryota; Metazoa; Chordata; Mammalia; Rodentia; Sciuridae.